Molecule: unclassified non-coding RNA, 242 nt
Filed under: Dothideomycetes sp.
Lineage: Eukaryota; Fungi; Ascomycota; Dothideomycetes
Description: partial contains 5.8S ribosomal RNA, internal transcribed spacer 2, and large subunit ribosomal RNA
Source: RNAcentral
CGCACAUUGCACCUCUAGGUAAUCCUUGAGGUAUAUUUGUUCGAGCGCCGUUUAAAAUAUUAAGACAUUGUCUUUUGUUGAAAUUUACUACGUAAUUGUAGUUUUUCUAAAUAUUUUGGCGUUGUUUUUAAUAGUGUUCAAAAACGCAGUGAAAAUGUGUUUAUAUGAACUAUUAAAGAACUGCCUUGUUUGUUUAUUAUACACAUGGCCUCGGAUCAAAUAGGGAUACCCGCUGAACUUAA